GCGCCCGUGGUCUAACGGAUAAGGCAUCCGCCUUCUAAGCGGAACGAUGGGGGUUCGAUUCCCUCCGGGCGCGCCA
RNAcentral lists this transfer RNA (76 nucleotides) under Candidatus Limnocylindria bacterium. Its description in RNAcentral is "tRNA-Arg". It matches the Rfam family "tRNA". Rfam says of the family: Transfer RNA (tRNA) molecules are approximately 80 nucleotides in length. Their secondary structure includes four short double-helical elements and three loops (D, anti-codon, and T loops). Further hydrogen bonds mediate the characteristic L-shaped molecular structure. tRNAs have two regions of fundamental functional importance: the anti-codon, which is responsible for specific mRNA codon recognition, and the 3' end, to which the tRNAs corresponding amino acid is attached (by aminoacyl-tRNA synthetases). tRNAs cope with the degeneracy of the genetic code in two manners: having more than one tRNA (with a specific anti-codon) for a particular amino acid; and 'wobble' base-pairing, i.e. permitting non-standard base-pairing at the 3rd anti-codon position. RNAcentral also lists the same sequence under 1 other name. The record is from RNAcentral. Lineage: Bacteria; Bacillati; Chloroflexota; Candidatus Limnocylindria.